ACGAAGAGGUUAGGUACAUGUGUACCUACGUGGAAUAUAAUUGUGUAAUAUGACAAAUUAAAUUUCAUUUCGUAUGGCUCUAUAUUAAUUGAUCAUAAAUGAAGAAAUUAAAUUAUUUAGAACGAAAAAGGUGUUUUUAAAGUUUUUACCAUUAUUUAUAUUUUUAUUAGAAAUUAUUAUUAUUUAUAAUUUUUUCUUAUGUUAAAUGGAAGUUGAAUAUCUUUGAUUGUUCAAUUGGAUUCAAAGUAGACUUACAAUUCAUUGACGAAAUUGUAAAAUUUACAACGUGAACGGGCAUUGUUUUAUCAUCAAUAUUUGAACUAGUUCCUGAGUUGAAAAAUAAGAACAUAAUAUUCAUUACAAAGCUACGUGUAUUUUCUACACUUAUAAUAAUGUUUAUAUAUAUAUGUAUUUGUAACAAACUCAAAUCGUGCUUUUCGACACACGUACAGACACACAUUUUUUAACUACGCUGUUAAAUGACCAGUGAAAUAUUUAGCCAUCUCUUGAAAAAAAUGUUUUGCAUACUUGAUAUUAUUGUAAUUAAUCGAUUUCAUAUUUUAUAAAUAAUGAGCGAUAUUAGUAUA
Molecule: long non-coding RNA, 587 nt
Organism: Rhopalosiphum maidis (corn leaf aphid)
Lineage: Eukaryota; Metazoa; Arthropoda; Insecta; Hemiptera; Aphididae
Exons: 2
Source: RefSeq, a predicted model, not a curated record